Molecule: transfer RNA, 59 nt
Filed under: Salmo salar (Atlantic salmon)
Lineage: Eukaryota; Metazoa; Chordata; Actinopteri; Salmoniformes; Salmonidae
Rfam family: tRNA
About the family: Transfer RNA (tRNA) molecules are approximately 80 nucleotides in length.
Source: Rfam by way of RNAcentral
UGGCUCAGUUGGUAGAGCAUGGCGCUUGCAACGCCAUGGAUUGUGGGCUCAUUCCCCAC